AACAAACGCUGGCGGCAUGCCUAACACAUGCAAGUCGAACGAGAUCUUCGGGUCUAGUGGCGCACGGGUGCGUAACGCGUGGGAAUCUGCCCUUUGGUUCGGAAUAACAGUUGGAAACGACUGCUAAUACCGGAUGAUGACGAAAGUCCAAAGAUUUAUCGCCAGAGGAUGAGCCCGCGUAGGAUUAGCUAGUUGGUGUAGUAAAGGCGCACCAAGGCGACGAUCCUUAGCUGGUCUGAGAGGAUGAUCAGCCACACUGGGACUGAGACACGGCCCAGACUCCUACGGGAGGCAGCAGUGGGGAAUAUUGGACAAUGGGCGAAAGCCUGAUCCAGCAAUGCCGCGUGAGUGAUGAAGGCCUUAGGGUUGUAAAGCUCUUUUACCCGGGAUGAUAAUGACAGUACCGGGAGAAUAAGCUCCGGCUAACUCCGUGCCAGCCGCCGCAGUAA
Molecule: ribosomal RNA, 449 nt
Filed under: uncultured bacterium
Lineage: Bacteria
Description: partial 16S ribosomal RNA
Rfam family: Bacterial small subunit ribosomal RNA
Source: RNAcentral